This 357-nucleotide ribosomal RNA is filed under the name Triticum aestivum (bread wheat). RNAcentral describes it as "partial small subunit ribosomal RNA". Lineage: Eukaryota; Viridiplantae; Streptophyta; Magnoliopsida; Poales; Poaceae. The record is from RNAcentral.
CAAUACUCAGCCCGAUCUUGCUACCAAGCUUUAUUCCUAGGAUCCACCUCCUCGUUCACUUGGCACCUCACUUGGCGGAACUGGGCUCCCCUAAACACCAAGUUCUUCAUCUGUCUUGCCUCGCUUGAUCAUUGUUGGACCAUGGAUCGCCUUGCGCGCCAUGGAAUCCAGCACGACCCCGACUGCUCACUCUGCUCUCAAGAACCGGAGACCCUGCACCACCUCCUGGUGGGCCGCGCCUUCUCCAAGAUCACAUGGCACGAGAUCAUAUCAUGGUGUCGAGCGACUAUCACACCAUCAGACGGACCAACCACCUUCUUCACCUGGUGGUCUGACUCCAUCGGCGGCUCCCCCGCA